UGGGGAAUAUUGGACAAUGGAGGAAACUCUGAUCCAGCAAUUCUGUGUGUGUGAAGAAGGUUUUAGGACUGUAAAACACUUUUAGUAGGGAAGAAAAAAAUGACGGUACCUACAGAAGAAGCAACGGCUAAAUACGUGCCAGCAGCCGCGGUAAUACGUAUGUUGCGAGCGUUAUCCGGAAUUAUUGGGCUUAAAGGGCAUCUAGGCGGUAAGACAAGUUGAAGGUGAAAACCUGUGGCUCAACCAUAGGCUUGCCUACAAAACUGUUUAACUAGAAUACUGGAAAGGUGGGUGGAACUACACGAGUAGAGAUGAAAUUCGUAGAUAUGUGUAGGAAUGCCGAUGAUGAAGAUAACUCACUGGACAGAAACUGACGCUGAAGUGCGAAAGCUAGGGGAGCAAACAGG
RNAcentral lists this ribosomal RNA (407 nucleotides) under Verrucomicrobiota bacterium. RNAcentral's name for it is "Verrucomicrobia bacterium partial 16S ribosomal RNA". It matches the Rfam family "Bacterial small subunit ribosomal RNA", at positions 355 to 776 of the family's 1533-position model. Lineage: Bacteria; Pseudomonadati; Verrucomicrobiota. The record is from RNAcentral.